Molecule: ribosomal RNA, 460 nt
Filed under: uncultured bacterium
Lineage: Bacteria
Description: partial 16S ribosomal RNA
Rfam family: Bacterial small subunit ribosomal RNA
Source: RNAcentral
CCUACGGGAGGCAGCAGUGAGGAAUAUUGGUCAAUGGACGAGAGUCUGAACCAGCCAAGUAGCGUGAAGGAUGACUGCCCUAUGGGUUGUAAACUUCUUUUAUAUGGGAAUAAAACGUUCCACGUGUGGGAUUUUGUAUGUACCAUAUGAAUAAGGAUCGGCUAACUCCGUGCCAGCAGCCGCGGUAAUACGGAGGAUCCGAGCGUUAUCCGGAUUUAUUGGGUUUAAAGGGAGCGUAGGUGGAUUGUUAAGUCAGUUGUGAAAGUUUGCGGCUCAACCGUAAAAUUGCAGUUGAAACUGGCAGUCUUGAGUACAGUAGAGGUGGGCGGAAUUCGUGGUGUAGCGGUGAAAUGCUUAGAUAUCACGAAGAACUCCGAUUGCGAAGGCAGUUCACUGGACUGCAACUGACACUGAGGCUCGAAAGUGUGGGUAUCAAACAGGAUUGGAUACCCUUGUAGUC